UACGAAGGGGGCUAGCGUUGCUCGGAAUCACUGGGCGUAAAGCGCACGUAGGCGGACUCUUAAGUCGGGGGUGAAAUCCUGGAGCUCAACUCCAGAACUGCCUUCGAUACUGAGAGUCUCGAGUCCGGGAGAGGUGAGUGGAACUGCGAGUGUAGAGGUGACAUUCGUAGAUAUUCGCAAGAACACCAGUGGCGAAGGCGGCUCACUGGACGACUGUUGACGCUGAGGUACGAAAGCGUGGGGAGCAAACAGG
RNAcentral lists this ribosomal RNA (253 nucleotides) under uncultured bacterium. Its description in RNAcentral is "partial 16S ribosomal RNA". It matches the Rfam family "Bacterial small subunit ribosomal RNA", at positions 524 to 776 of the family's 1533-position model. The record is from RNAcentral.